This 4887-nucleotide unclassified non-coding RNA is filed under the name Manduca sexta (tobacco hornworm). RNAcentral describes it as "wASH complex subunit 1, transcript variant X3". Lineage: Eukaryota; Metazoa; Arthropoda; Insecta; Lepidoptera; Sphingidae. The record is from RNAcentral.
ACUUGCUGUAGGUGUAAUACAUUUUCGAUAUAGUGCACUUUUAUAGCAUUUCGGGCUCGCAAUAGCAACUUUCAUUAAAUUCUACAUGUCGUAGAGGAACAGUGAUGUUAGUUAAAUAAAUGUAGUGCGCGAAGGGUAAACGUGUUCAGUCAGUGUGUUGUGUGUCAUCGUGUUGAGACCAUCGGUGCGCCAUUUAGCUCGUCGGAUAAAAAACAAGGAAUGUGUCGAUUGUCAGUCAGUUAGUUUCUUCGGGAUUAGUGUAUCAGUUCGUAAUGGAGUGACAUCGGAAUUACUCAGCAAUGGAAAAUAUAAGUAAUAUUCCAAGGGAAAGGAAGUUUAAUGGUCGGCAAAGAGGAACGCACUGUGGUCUGUGGAUGUGGUUUGUGCUAAUCCAUAGUUUAAUCAGUUUACCAUGCCUACCCGCCACCUGUCUAGGCAUUCAAAAUAUUCCUGUGUAUAUUCGUCCAGAGGGAAUGCUGCUUGUUAACUAUAGUGAACCACUGGAGAUGUUUUGUACUGAUGAAACAGCCUCCUCAGCUGAUCUGAAUUUUCUUAUAGGCAAGGAUGUUAUUCCUUCUGAAGCUGUCAAUUCGACAACCAUUAAAUUAUACAUUGACAAGCCUAAAAAGCAAUUGAAUACUUAUACCUGUAAAAAUAAGAAAACUAACAACAAUUGCUUUGCUAGAGUGUUAGUUGAUUCUCCCCCUGAGAAUGUAACAGACUUUACAUGCAUAUCGCAAAAUCUGGAAGUAUUGAAAUGUACUUGGACACAACCAAACAAUAUUAGUAAUACUAAUUACAGUCUGUCAUUUUUAAUUCAUGGUGUUCCCGGAGAGCCAUGUACAGUAGUACGAAUUAAUAACACAAGGUCUUGUAUGUGGAAUACAUUUAGUCAGCCAAGAUACCGCCCAAUGGAAAAAGAAUAUUUAUUCAACCUCACAGCUUGUAAUCGAUUUGGCUGCAAUGUGCAAUUUAUAAAAAUAGAUCAUUUUUCAAUUGUAAAACCUAAUCCACCUAAAAAAUUAAUAUCUGUGUAUAAUUAUACUCAUAGUGUGCUGCUGCAAUGGACCAUAGAUAUGAACCUAAACCUACUCCCAGAUGGUGUCGACCACAGAAUAGAAUAUCAGAUUGCCAAAAUUGACAAUAUGGAUUAUUUCAGAAGUGUUGAUGUGUCCAGUUUGCCAGCUAAAAAUAGAACAUAUAGAUUUCUCCUGACCAACUUACCAUAUGCUCAUAUGCAGUAUGAGGUAAGAAUAUAUAUUAAGUGCAAAACUACAGCAAAAGAAGGUAUCUGGUCUGAUUUUACAUAUAAGUUUAUUUAUACCACCAGUGAAAGGCCAAAUAGGCCACCUGAUACCAUAGUUGGUGCAUUUGGGCAGGCUGUAUUUAAUACUAAAAGGUUGAUAUAUAUUUAUUGGAAACAGUUGGAAGAGUAUGAGGAAGCAGGAACAAAUUUUACAUAUAAAGUAGUUGCUACACCAUAUAAGCAAAAUUAUCAAACAAUUUUUGCUGAUAAAAAUAAAAGCUUGAGUUAUGUUGUUUUGAAAAAUGCAUCACUAGAUGCUAUAGAUGUAUCUAUUUGGUCUAUGAAUGACAAUGGCUCAUCAUUCAAUAGCACCUACCUAUAUAUCCCUCCCGAAGUGAACACAAGGCCUAAAGUAACAUCAUUUACUAAACUUGCUUAUGAAAACGGCACAUACAAAUUAUCAUGGGGUGGAGUACAAAAUAUAGACAAUUAUACUCUCUUUUGGUGUAUUCAUAAUACUACAGGAAUUUGUGCAGGAAGAAUGAAUUUUACAGUGCUUAAUCCUGGUAAGACCACUCAUGUAAUAAACUUACCAAAGGAGAACAGGUAUCAAUUUGCAAUAUCUGCUAAUAGUGGGAAGAAGACAAGUGGGAUGGUUUGGGCUAUCUGUGACAUAUCUAAAGAUACUAUUCAAAUGUAUGGAUUUCCUGUAAAAAUGGACCGUGAUGCACCAGGACCAACAUAUGUUAAAAUAAAAUGGACUAUGGACUGUACACUGCAAGAUGGUGUGAUUACUGGGUAUCGAAUUUCAUAUUGUCCAGUUCUAGCUACAACUAAUCUUUGUAAAAACCAAAUUAAAAAUCAAACUACUAUUAAUAUAACUGAUCCAAAACAGAUGGCAAUAAAUAUAACAAACUUAGAGCCAUACACAACUUAUUUAUUUACGUUGGCAAUGAAUACGACAUAUGGACUCAAGACUAUUGAAAAUGCUUCUACUGAAGUAACUACAGUUGAAGAUACUCCCACAAGCCCUGUAAAUAUCACUAUUUCUGAAAUUGAAUACAAUUCAAUGUUUAUAUCGUAUGAUCCGCCAGUUCAUAAGAAUGGAAUCAUUGGAAAAUAUGUGAUUAAUAAUUAUGGUGAACCAUUUCUUGUUGACAAUGUAUCUGAAAAGGAUAAAGAUGGUUCAAGAAGGCAUGUAAAAUUAGCUCAAUUGACUGGAUUCACUAACUACUCAUGGACUGUGCAAGCUUGCAAUACUGCUAUCAGAAGUUGCUCAAAAGUAAAACCAAAUGAUGCUAUAUUUGUUAGAACAAAGAUUGGUCCACCUAGUAAAUUAAAAAGUCCCACUGUUAAGAGUAGACCUGACAUUGUUAAAUGGGAACCUCCUGAAAUUCCUGGUGGCAUUGUUACUUCUUAUCAAAUACUCAGAGUGAAGGAUGGAAGUGGUGUGUCUGAGAUAUUCAACACAACAAAUUUGGAUUAUUCAUUAGUGCAUUGUGAUGGUGGAAUUACUGGAGAAUCAUAUAGAGUUAGAGCUGUGAAUUAUGAUGAAGAUGAAUAUUAUGGAACAUUAACUGACAGCGUAAAAGUGCAACUACCUCACAGAAAUAAUAAUAUUGUUUUGGAACAUCCAGGUGAAUGGAGCGAUCCUAGUGCAGUGGCUUGUGGAGGUAAAGAUGGAUUAAUGAUGGUUUUUAUAUUAAUAGCAGUAUUUAUGGUAGUGGGCUUGAUGUAUGGUUCAUUAAAAUGUUACAAAAGGUACCAAAAGAGGGAAGAUAUUAAACCAGUCCUGCCUAAUGGAUUAGGUGUUCCUGAAAAGGACAUUUCUAAAUAUGCUUUUGGAGGUUGGAAUCCUUCUAACAAAGAUGAAAAGCCCUCAUCUGAUGAAAUGUUGCUGUUACCAAACAGUAGAACUACUGUUUCCACUUCAGAUCUAAAGCAAAAAGAAAAUGACAAUUGUGCUUCAAGUGACCACACAGAUAGUACUGCUCUUUCGGAUAUGUCACGUGCCCCAGUAGAUAGACAAGUCUCAACUUCAGACGAUGGCUCAAAUUCAUCGCUUCGUUUAGAAGUUGAAACAACACGAGCCUCAGAAAAGAAUACAAACCAAGACUAUGAGGAUUUAUCUAAUUACGACACGGAAGCAUCGCGAGAUGCUUCGCCAUACUUUGGUGAAAAAUCCUUUAAGAAAAGUUCAGAUAGUGGAUAUGUGCAGCAGCCGGUAAACCCCGUGUCAGGAUACGUUCAAUCUGCGUCAAUGCCUAUCAAAACCUCACUACCAAAACCGUCACUCCACAAUACUAAUUCGAGCUACGUUAUGGCGUCUCUUUCGCCACCUAUCUUUACGACUGGGGUGCCUCAACCCAGCGCCACGAGUCACGCUCCGGUGUCGUCAGGAUAUGUACGACCCGAAGAAGCUCAGAUGAAAACGGGAUUAAGUUUCCCCAAACUAGGACCAUCACCAACAAAAAUGUUUGGCCCAGAAAGCUUGCCGACAAUGCCUACCUUGCCUUCGCCUGCGAAACAUGGCGCCGACAGCAGUUAUAUUCAGCUGCAAUCACUCGAUACCUUGCCUAGUCAUAAACAACCUGUACGCAACACAGUGCCAUUAAAGCCGCAAGCCUCUAGCGGUUAUGUAAGCCCAGGAGAUGCUGUAAUUAACAAACAUCUUAAUAAUAUGUUAUUGGGUGGUCAGUUAGCUGAAGAAUCAGCAAUACUAGAUCCCACAAUGUCACCCGACGCUUAUUGCCGAUUUUCGUGGAGUACCGAUCCCACUAAUGAUAAUUUACAUUCGCUGCUCACUGAUUCGCAGAGAAUAAACUCGUUGAACAAGUGACUACUUGAACUCAAUUAAGUGAUAUGAUUGUUAAAAUAUAUAUUAGGGAAAUAUUAAACUUGAACUGAACUGUAAAUAUUAAAUUUUAAGAGCUUUAUCACGCAGUGCUAUAAAAUAUGGGACAUAAUAUUAUUUCACACAAGAAUGUGGAUGUGUCUAGUGAUUGUUCUUGUGCCUUAUUAAUUUAUUUUAGGACAGUUUUAAGAAGCUCAGUAGGAAUUAAUUUAUGCGCAUGAAUGGUAAAAAUGGAGGGACUUUAUAAGAUAAAUAUAGUAUCGAGUGAUUUGAGCACAGAAGAAACUAUUCUACAAAUAGCAGACACGCUUGACAACCUUAACGGGGUAGUUGAUGAUGUGUUUUAUCGACUAAUGUGCAGAAUCAAUCAGAACAUGGACAAAACUGCUAAAUUAAAAGAUAGGAUGGAAAUUGCCAAAACUAAAGUUGACAAGUUAACUGGUUUGCAAAAGGCGAUAAAAGUAUUUUCGAGUGCAAAAUACCCAGCUUCCAUAACGCAAGAAAAUUAUGAAUCAGUAUUUGGUUUCGAAGGGUAUAAGUACAAACCUAAAAAAGUGACGCUGAGUGGAAAAGCUCAGGGGCUGCUUUCUGAUAAAGGAAUACAGGAAAAACUUCAUUUCUACCACGUGAAAGUCGCGGAUACUGCGAACCCGAAACCAAAACAGGACUAUAGACUAAACGCUGUGAUUGACAACAUAGAAACUGUCGGGGAAUUGCUUAUUUUUAACACUGAUGAAAGUCCUUAUCUCGGUACAUCCAAUAAGUUAUCGACUUAUGUACCAACAGU